RNAcentral lists this ribosomal RNA (460 nucleotides) under uncultured bacterium. RNAcentral's name for it is "partial 16S ribosomal RNA". It matches the Rfam family "Bacterial small subunit ribosomal RNA", at positions 338 to 795 of the family's 1533-position model. The record is from RNAcentral.
CCUACGGGAGGCAGCAGUGAGGAAUAUUGGUCAAUGGACGAGAGUCUGAACCAGCCAAGUAGCGUGAAGGAUGACUGCCCUAUGGGUUGUAAACUUCUUUUAUAUGGGAAUAAAACAGGGUAUGCAUACCCUCUUGUAUGUACCAUAUGAAUAAGGAUCGGCUAACUCCGUGCCAGCAGCCGCGGUAAUACGGAGGGUCCGAGCGUUAUCCGGAUUUAUUGGGUAUAAAGGGAGCGUAGGUGGAUUGUUAAGUCAGAUGUGAAAGUUUGCGGCUCAACCGUAAAAUUGCAGUUGAAACUGGCAGUCGUGAGUACAGUAGAGGUGAGCGGAAUUCGUGGUGUAGCGGUGAAAUGCUUAGAUAUCACGAAGAACUCCGAUUGCGAAGGCAGCUCACUGGACUGCAACUGACACUGAUGCUCGAAAGUGUGGGUAUCAAACAGGAUUAGAUACCCCAGUAGUC